Molecule: ribosomal RNA, 254 nt
Filed under: uncultured bacterium
Lineage: Bacteria
Description: partial 16S ribosomal RNA
Rfam family: Bacterial small subunit ribosomal RNA
Source: RNAcentral
UACGUAGGGUCCAAGCGUUAUCCGGAAUCACUGGGCGUAAAGCGUGCGUAGGUGGAUGUUUAAGUGUAUUGCGAAAUCCUGUGGCUCAACCAUAUGGACUGUAAUGCAUACUGGAUAUCUAGAGGACGGCAGAGGCAAGUGGAAUUUGUAGUGUAGCAGUGAAAUGCGUAGAUAUUACAAGGAACACCAAUGGCGAAGGCAGCUUGCUGGGCCGACCCUGACACUGAGGUACGAAAGCGUGGGGAGCGAACAGG